This is a non-coding RNA of Phrynosoma platyrhinos (Desert horned lizard), 72 nucleotides long. Lineage: Eukaryota; Metazoa; Chordata; Lepidosauria; Squamata; Phrynosomatidae. The record is from the annotation of a GenBank genome assembly.
GACAGCAUGGUAUAGUGGUUUUCGUGUUGGGUUAUGACUCUGGAGACCAGGGUUCAAAUCUCUGCUCGGCCA